UCUUGGCUUGAGGCCACACGGAUGGCUUCUCCCUUCUUCUUUUCCAACAUGUCUGUUUGAGCCGAAGGCUGUUGAUUCAAGAAUGCUGUUUACUUUUUCAGGUACAGGUGGUAUUAGCGAUAUCCAAGGCCAAUUUUGAUUUUAAAACAUGAUACGCAAAUACUGCACAACCCAGGAAGGGCAUGUGCCAACCCACACACAAAGGACGUUCUGACAGUGUCCUCCUUUUUGAAAGCAAGGUGAUUGAAUGCCCCCAAGUACCUGGGAAAAGCAAGGCCGGUAGGCGUUCUAUGCCUCCCUGUGCAAACAAUCCCUGGGGCCCACUGGAGGCGGCGCCCGGAGCCUGCGAGCACAAGUGAAGACCCAGGUCCCCGGCGGCUCUGAAGGCUCUGCCCACCUGGCCGGUGUGUGGCAACAAAGAACAAAGAUGAAGGCAGGCAUUUCUGGAACGGACCGUGGGAGGUUGACACACACAAACACACGGGCGGACGUGUCAUGUCUGGUCUCCCCGAACGGAGUGAAGAGCUGUCACAGAAGCAGCUUCGUGAGGAGUCCCAUCCACAAAGGUCAAUGUCAUCAGUCUCUGUUCUCCAGGGCGGACGCCCCCUGCCUCUUCCAAAUAAAGUGCGGAUGGUCGAAGGGUACUGGUCUAUCAUCUGCUGGUUUCAGUCAGCGAUGAAGAAGAAGAAUAGAAAAAGACGCCCCUCUGGUAUACAUAUAUCUCUCUCUAUAUAUAUACUCUUUUUUUUCUUUUGUAAUAAAGCCACAAAUAUAA
Molecule: long non-coding RNA, 775 nt
Organism: Suricata suricatta (meerkat)
Lineage: Eukaryota; Metazoa; Chordata; Mammalia; Carnivora; Herpestidae
Exons: 4
Source: RefSeq, a predicted model, not a curated record